GCUAAGGAUUUGCAUUCUCA
This 20-nucleotide small nuclear RNA is filed under the name Arabidopsis thaliana (thale cress). Its description in RNAcentral is "snRNA_08168". Lineage: Eukaryota; Viridiplantae; Streptophyta; Magnoliopsida; Brassicales; Brassicaceae. The record is from RNAcentral.